RNAcentral lists this ribosomal RNA (274 nucleotides) under uncultured bacterium. RNAcentral's name for it is "partial 16S ribosomal RNA". It matches the Rfam family "Bacterial small subunit ribosomal RNA", at positions 523 to 796 of the family's 1533-position model. The record is from RNAcentral.
AUACGGAGGGAGCAAGCGUUAUUCGGAAUCACUGGGCGUAAAGGACGCGUAGGCGGGUUUGUAAGUCGGGUGUGAAAUCCUACAGCUCAACUGUAGAACUGCACUUGAAACUACAGACCUAGAGUAUGGAAGGGGCAGAUGGAAUUAGUGGUGUAGGGGUAAAAUCCGUAGAUAUCACUAGGAAUACCGAAAGCGAAGGCGAUCUGCUGGGACAUUACUGACGCUGAGGCGUGAAAGCGUGGGGAGCAAACAGGAUUAGAUACCCUAGUAGUCC